Molecule: long non-coding RNA, 577 nt
Organism: Microtus oregoni (creeping vole)
Lineage: Eukaryota; Metazoa; Chordata; Mammalia; Rodentia; Cricetidae
Exons: 3
Source: RefSeq, a predicted model, not a curated record
UCCACCUGCUAAGAGCUAUCCAUCAAACAUCCCCUCAACCGUGUCUUCAGACUCUCUGAUCAACAACAGGAAACUGUGAAGGGAGAGAGAACCGUGAUAUCAGGUCAGAACAAUCAAAUUCUCGAAGCUAUUGGAAGAAAGUGGCUUCACGACACGAAACACUGCUUUUCCUAUUAGAAAUGCCAUCACCGCUCAGAAGUAGGCUCUGACAAGACUUGGAUCCUUGCCUUGGUUCCCUAGGCACGGACUCUGCACCCUCCUGGCCUAGCUGGACCUUCCUGUGGCCCCUCCCACGCUCGCGGGGACCCCCCGACGUCGCAGCGGGCCCUUCCGGAGCGGACCGCGGCCCACCCGCUCUCCGACCAGCGCACCCUUGUCAGAGGCUGGCGACUGCAGCCCGGCAGUUUCUUCUUAACUGAAGAAGUGUGGCCGAAAGGGUGAGAUUUGAACACUAAAAGUUACCAAGCAGAUGGCAGAGUAGCCCUCUUCCACAGAGCUGCCUCUGGGAGCAGCAGCAGCUCCCCGGAGCCGUUCCCGCCCUGGGAGGAUGCGUGGAUGCUGUUAAACAUUCAGAAAA